AUGUUGGCUCGCCAGAGAAUUUGCCACACCCCGAUAAGCGCAGAACCAGAAGCUGGCACGAGAAGUUCUUCGGGACCACCUAUUGCACGAAGACAGAGGAGGGUAAUAAGGCCCGCAGCAUCUCAAAGGUCUCCAUUCAUUGACUACAACAAGAAGAAGACUUUCAGCUCCAAUAAGGCAGUGAACAAGAUUUACGCUGCCCUCUUGUAUUGGGUCAGGCAUCACAAAGGAGCAAAUGAUGAAGCUACCAACCCUGAGAUAAUCAGGUAUGGUGCUUUCUACAUUUCUUUAAAGGAGUUAGUUGAUUCGAUGAAGCCGGUUCAAUGGUUGUCAAAAAUUGUUAUUGAGACUGGAAUCUUACACAUCAUGGAUAACUUACCAGAAGGGUCAAAGAAGGUUGUUAUGCCACUGAGGUUUUCUAUAAAUUUACAGCAAGGGAUCCACAAUGUGAAUGAGAUAAACAAGAAGUUUGAUUACAAAAACCGUCUCGACAAGAAAGACUUGGUCAUGCUGCCAGUGCUCGAGUGCACUGAUGUAACCGAUAAGGAGGGAGGGAGGCAUUAUUGGGUCUUCAAUGUCAAUUUGAGGGACGGACGCUUCAAAGUUCUUGACUCAAGCAGGACGCUGAACAACAUUGUGCUGAUGACCACCGCCUCUACCAUCACGGGGGCAGUACGCCAGCUAUGGAGGAAGCAUUACCCAAAGUUCAGCAUCGAGCACUUCCAGAUUAUUGACAUUGACGUACCGAAACAGCUCGGCAAUAAUGAGUGUGGGUUGUUCGCACUGCUUAACGCCACCGAGUGGAAUGGUAGCCAACUGCCCAACUACGACCCCAAGGAAGUACUCAACAUCAGGAAGAAGCUGGCAUAUGAUUGGGUCACCAGCGUGCACAACACCGCCCCAUGGAGGAAAUUGCUGAGAUAUGACAAGGAGUAG
Molecule: ribosomal RNA, 936 nt
Filed under: Triticum aestivum (bread wheat)
Lineage: Eukaryota; Viridiplantae; Streptophyta; Magnoliopsida; Poales; Poaceae
Description: partial small subunit ribosomal RNA
Source: RNAcentral